CACCUCCCACCCGUGUUUAUUUUACCUUGUUGCUUCGGCGGGCCCGCCUUAACUGGCCGCCGGGGGGCUUACGCCCCCGGGCCCGCGCCCGCCGAAGACACCCUCGAACUCUGUCUGAAGAUUGUAGUCUGAGUGAAAAUAUAAAUUAUUUAAAACUUUCAACAACGGAUCUCUUGGUUCCGGCAUCGAUGAAGAACGCAGCGAAAUGCGAUACGUAAUGUGAAUUGCAAAUUCAGUGAAUCAUCGAGUCUUUGAACGCACAUUGCGCCCCCUGGUAUUCCGGGGGGCAUGCCUGUCCGAGCGUCAUUUCUGCCCUCAAGCACGGCUUGUGUGUUGGGCCCCGUCCUCCGAUCCCGGGGGACGGGCCCGAAAGGCAGCGGCGGCACCGCGUCCGGUCCUCGAGCGUAUGGGGCUUUGUCACCCGCUCUGUAGGCCCGGCCGGCGCUUGCCGAUCAACCCAAAUUUUUAUCCAGGUUGACCUCGGAUCAGGUAGGGAUACCCGCUGAACUUAAGCAUAUCAAUA
RNAcentral lists this ribosomal RNA (523 nucleotides) under Penicillium sp. EFF2A. RNAcentral describes it as "eukaryotic LSU rRNA". The stretch from base 154 to 306 matches the Rfam family "5.8S ribosomal RNA". Lineage: Eukaryota; Fungi; Ascomycota; Eurotiomycetes; Eurotiales; Aspergillaceae. The record is from RNAcentral.